Molecule: long non-coding RNA, 687 nt
Filed under: Salmo salar (Atlantic salmon)
Lineage: Eukaryota; Metazoa; Chordata; Actinopteri; Salmoniformes; Salmonidae
Description: lncRNA (ENSSSAG00000085185.1)
Source: RNAcentral
UGUGUGUGUUAGAUAGGGCUGAUUUGCCUGGCUGAAGACACAAAGCAGGAUUAUAAAGCCACUAGGGUUAGAGUUAUGGGUAGAGCAGGGCCCACCAGACACAGUAUGGAGAGAGAGAUAGAGAGAGAGGUAGAGAGAGGGAAAGGUAGAGAGAGAGAGAGAGGUAGAGAGAGGGGGAGGUAGAGAGAGGGAGAGGUAGAGAGAGAGAGGUAGAGAGAGAGGUAGGUAGAGAGAGAGGUAGAGAGAGAGAGAGGGAGGUAGAGAGAGGUAGAGAGAGGGAGGUAGAGAGGUAGAGAGAGAGGUAGAGAGAGAGGUAGAGAGGUAGAGAGGGAGGUAGAGAGGUAGAGAGGUAGAGAGAGAGGUAGAGAGGUAGAGAGGUAGAGAGAGAGGUAGGGGUAGAGCAGGGCCCACCAGACACAGUAUGGAGAGUGGGAGGUAGAGAGAGAGAGGUAGAGAGAGAGGUAGGUAGAGAGAGAGGUAGAGAGAGAGACAGACAGGGAGAGAACAGGUCAUCCAGCCUUUCAGUUCCUCCACCCUCACAUGCUAUGACAUCUUCUGGUUUCAAUGAUGUUUCUAGAGACAAUAUCUCUCUCAUCGUCACUCAAUGCCCAGGUUCACCUCCACUGUAUUCACAUCCUGCCAUACCUUUGUCUGUACAUUAUACCUCAAAGCUAUUUUAUCGCCCCC